RNAcentral lists this ribosomal RNA (492 nucleotides) under uncultured bacterium. RNAcentral describes it as "partial 16S ribosomal RNA". It matches the Rfam family "Bacterial small subunit ribosomal RNA", at positions 29 to 507 of the family's 1533-position model. The record is from RNAcentral.
AGUGAACGCUGGCGGUAGGCCUAACACAUGCAAGUCGAACGGCAGCACAGUAAGAGCUUGCUCUUACGGGUGGCGAGUGGCGGACGGGUGAGGAAUACAUCGGAAUCUACUUUUUCGUGGGGGAUAACGUAGGGAAACUUACGCUAAUACCGCAUACGACCUACGGGUGAAAGCAGGGGAUCUUCGGACCUUGCGCGAUUGAAUGAGCCGAUGUCGGAUUAGCUAGUUGGCGGGGUAAAGGCCCACCAAGGCGACGAUCCGUAGCUGGUCUGAGAGGAUGAUCAGCCACACUGGAACUGAGACACGGUCCAGACUCCUACGGGAGGCAGCAGUGGGGAGUAUUGGACAAUGGGCGCAAGCCUGAUCCAGCCAUACCGCGUGGGUGAAGAAGGCCUUCGGGUUGUAAAGCCCUUUUGUUGGGAAAGAAAAGCAGUAGGUUAAUACCCCGCUGUUCUGACGGUACCCAAAGAAUAAGCACCGGCUAACUUCGUG